CCGAAUGGGGAAACCCAGUGUGAUUCGUCACACUAUCAUUAACUGAAUCCAUAGGUUAAUGAGGCGAACCGGGGGAACUGAAACAUCUAAGUACCCCGAGGAAAAGAAAUCAACCGAGAUUCCCCCAGUAGCGGCGAGCGAACGGGGAGGAGCCCAGAGCCUGAAUCAGCAUGUGUGUUAGUGGAAGCGUCUGGAAAGGCGCGCGAUACAGGGUGACAGCCCCGUACACAAAAGCGCAUGUGCUGUGAGCUCGAUGAGUAGGGCGGGACACGUGGUAUCCUGUCUGAAUAUGGGGGGACCAUCCUCCAAGGCUAAAUACUCCUGACUGACCGAUAGUGAACCAGUACCGUGAGGGAAAGGCGAAAAGAACCCCGGCGAGGGGAGUGAAAAAGAACCUGAAACCGUGUACGUACAAGCAGUGGGAGNNNNNNNNNNNNNNNNNNNNNNNNNNNGUUAACCGUAUAGGGGAGCCGGAGGGAAACCGAGUCUUAACCGGGCGUUAAGUUGCAGGGUAUAGACCCGAAACCCGGUGAUCUAGCCAUGGGCAGGUUGAAGGUUGGGUAACACUAACUGGAGGACCGAACCGACUAAUGUUGAAAAAUUAGCGGAUGACCUGUGGCUGGGGGUGAAAGGCCAAUCAAACCGGGAGAUAGCUGGUUCUCCCCGAAAGCUAUUUAGGUAGCGCCUCGUGAAUUCAUCUCCGGGGGUAGAGCACUGUUUCGGCUAGGGGGCCAUCCCGGCUUACCAACCCGAUGCAAACUGCGAAUACCGGAGAAUGUUAUCACGGGAGACACACGGCGGGUGCUAACGUCCGUCGUGAAGAGGGAAACAACCCAGACCGCCAGCUAAGGUCCCAAAGUCAUGGUUAAGUGGGAAACGAUGUGGGAAGGCCCAGACAGCCAGGAUGUUGGCUUAGAAGCAGCCAUCAUUUAAAGAAAGCGUAAUAGCUCACUGGUCGAGUCGGCCUGCGCGGAAGAUGUAACGGGGCUAAACCAUGCACCGAAGCUGCGGCAGCGAACGUAUCACCCAAGACAACUUUACGGAGUUGACGAUUGACGGAGCGAAGCGACGUCAAAGCGUUCAUUAAAGUCGAGUUGGCUUAGGGAUACGUUCGUUGGGUAGGGGAGCGUUCUGUAAGCCUGUGAAGGUGUGUCGUGAGGCAUGCUGGAGGUAUCAGAAGUGCGAAUGCUGACAUAAGUAACGAUAAAGCGGGUGAAAAGCCCGCUCGCCGGAAGACCAAGGGUUCCUGUCCAACGUUAAUCGGGGCAGGGUGAGUCGACCCCUAAGGCGAGGCCGAAAGGCGUAGUCGAUGGGAAACGGGUUAAUAUUCCCGUACUUGGUGUUACUGCGAAGGGGGGACGGAGAAGGCUAUGUUGGCCGGGCGACGGUUGUCCCGGUUUAAGCGUGUAGGUGUGUGUUCCAGGUAAAUCCGGUUCACUUUAACACUGAGGCGUGACGACGAGGCACUACGGUGCUGAAGCAACAAAUGCCCUGCUUCCAGGAAAAGCCUCUAAGCAUCAGGUAACACGAAAUCGUACCCCAAACCGACACAGGUGGUCAGGUAGAGAAUACCAAGGCGCUUGAGAGAACUCGGGUGAAGGAACUAGGCAAAAUGGUGCCGUAACUUCGGGAGAAGGCACGCUGACACGUAGGUGAAGUGAUUUACUCAUGGAGCUGAAGUCAGUCGAAGAUACCAGCUGGCUGCAACUGUUUAUUAAAAACACAGCACUGUGCAAACACGAAAGUGGACGUAUACGGUGUGACGCCUGCCCGGUGCCGGAAGGUUAAUUGAUGGGGUCAGCGCAAGCGAAGCUCCUGAUCGAAGCCCCGGUAAACGGCGGCCGUAACUAUAACGGUCCUAAGGUAGCGAAAUUCCUUGUCGGGUAAGUUCCGACCUGCACGAAUGGCGUAAUGAUGGCCAGGCUGUCUCCACCCGAGACUCAGUGAAAUUGAACUCGCUGUGAAGAUGCAGUGUACCCGCGGCAAGACGGAAAGACCCCGUGAACCUUUACUAUAGCUUGACACUGAACAUUGAGCCUUGAUGUGUAGGAUAGGUGGGAGGCUUUGAAGUGUGGACGCCAGUCUGCAUGGAGCCGACCUUGAAAUACCACCCUUUAAUGUUUGAUGUUCUAACGUGGACCCGUAAUCCGGGUUGCGGACAGUGUCUGGUGGGUAGUUUGACUGGGGCGGUCUCCUCCUAAAGAGUAACGGAGGAGCACGAAGGUUGGCUAAUCCUGGUCGGACAUCAGGAGGUUAGUGCAAUGGCAUAAGCCAGCUUGACUGCGAGCGUGACGGCGCGAGCAGGUGCGAAAGCAGGUCAUAGUGAUCCGGUGGUUCUGAAUGGAAGGGCCAUCGCUCAACGGAUAAAAGGUACUCCGGGGAUAACAGGCUGAUACCGCCCAAGAGUUCAUAUCGACGGCGGUGUUUGGCACCUCGAUGUCGGCUCAUCACAUCCUGGGGCUGAAGUAGGUCCCAAGGGUAUGGCUGUUCGCCAUUUAAAGUGGUACGCGAGCUGGGUUUAGAACGUCGUGAGACAGUUCGGUCCCUAUCUGCCGUGGGCGCUGGAGAACUGAGGGGGGCUGCUCCUAGUACGAGAGGACCGGAGUGGACGCAUCACUGGUGUUCGGGUUGUCAUGCCAAUGGCACUGCCCGGUAGCUAAAUGCGGAAGAGAUAAGUGCUGAAAGCAUCUAAGCACGAAACUUGCCCCGAGAUGAGUUCUCCCUGAGACUUAGAGUCUCCUGAAGGAACGUUGAAGACGACGACGUUGAUAGGCCGGGUGUGUAAGCGCAGCGAUGCGUUGAGCUAACCGGUACUAAUGAACCGUGAGGCUUAACCUUACAACG
RNAcentral lists this ribosomal RNA (2844 nucleotides) under Salmonella enterica subsp. enterica serovar Typhimurium. RNAcentral describes it as "bacterial LSU rRNA". It matches the Rfam family "Bacterial large subunit ribosomal RNA". The record is from RNAcentral. Lineage: Bacteria; Pseudomonadati; Pseudomonadota; Gammaproteobacteria; Enterobacterales; Enterobacteriaceae.